CUACGGGCGGCAGCAGUGAGGAAUAUUGCACAACGGGGGGAACCCUGAUGCAGCAACGCCGCGUGGAGGAUGACGCAUUUCGGUGUGUAAACUCCUUUUAUAUGUCAAGAAAAUGACGGUAGCAUAUGAAUAAGCACCGGCUAACUCCGUGCCAGCAGCCGCGGUAAUACGGAGGGUGCAAGCGUUACUCGGAAUCACUGGGCGUAAAGGACGCGUAGGCGGGUUGGAAAGUCAGGUGUGAAAUCCUACAGCUUAACUGUAGAACUGCACUUGAAACUUCUAAUCUAGAGUAUGGGAGGGGGAGAUGGAAUUAGUGGUGUAGGGGUAAAAUCCGUAGAUAUCACUAGGAAUACCUAAAGCGAAGGCGUUCUCCUGGAACAUUACUGACGCUAAGGCGUGAAAGCGUGGGGAGCAAACAGGAUUAGAUACCCGUGUAGUC
Molecule: ribosomal RNA, 439 nt
Filed under: uncultured bacterium
Lineage: Bacteria
Description: partial 16S ribosomal RNA
Rfam family: Bacterial small subunit ribosomal RNA
Source: RNAcentral